Molecule: ribosomal RNA, 600 nt
Filed under: Brevibacterium sp. CMT143
Lineage: Bacteria; Bacillati; Actinomycetota; Actinomycetes; Micrococcales; Brevibacteriaceae
Description: bacterial SSU rRNA
Rfam family: Bacterial small subunit ribosomal RNA
Source: RNAcentral
ACGACGACGGGUAGCCGGCCUGAGAGGGCGACCGGCCACACUGGGACUGAGACACGGCCCAGACUCCUACGGGAGGCAGCAGUGGGGAAUAUUGCACAAUGGGGGAAACCCUGAUGCAGCGACGCAGCGUGCGGGAUGACGGCCUUCGGGUUGUAAACCGCUUUCAGCAGGGAAGAAGCGCAAGUGACGGUACCUGCAGAAGAAGUACCGGCUAACUACGUGCCAGCAGCCGCGGUAAUACGUAGGGUACGAGCGUUGUCCGGAAUUAUUGGGCGUAAAGAGCUCGUAGGUGGUUGGUCACGUCUGCUGUGGAAACCCAACGCUUAACGUUGCGCGUGCAGUGGGUACGGGCUGACUAGAGUGCAGUAGGGGAGUCUGGAAUUCCUGGUGUAGCGGUGAAAUGCGCAGAUAUCAGGAGGAACACCGGUGGCGAAGGCGGGACUCUGGGCUGUAACUGACACUGAGGAGCGAAAGCAUGGGGAGCGAACAGGAUUAGAUACCCUGGUAGUCCAUGCCGUAAACGUUGGGCACUAGGUGUGGGGGGCAUUCCACGUUCUCCGCGCCGUAGCUAACGCAUUAAGUGCCCCGCCUGGGGAGUAC